AGCCUUAGGAGUAUUUGAAAGCUUGUGCUGUGAAAAAUAGGAAUCUUACAGGAGAAUCAUAUGGGGCCUGGAGAGGAACCUGUUUGGGACAGGCCGAUUCCCAUCUCCUGCCGCUCUGUACCUCCUGGGCACCGUGGCCUGCCUUCUCCUCCCUUCUGGUGAAAUGCUACCACAAGAAAUACCGCUCGGCCACCCGUGACGUCAUUUUCCGCCUGCAGUUUCACACUGGGGCUGUGCAGGGCUACGGGCUGGUGUUUGGGAAGGAGGAUCUGGACAAUGCCAGCAAAGAUGACCGUUUUCCUGACUAUGGGAAGGUUGAAUUAGUCUUCUCUGCCACCCCUGAGAAGAUUCAAGGGUCCGAACACUUGUACAACGACCACGGUGUGAUUGUGGACUACAACACAACAGACCCACUGAUACGCUGGGACUCGUACGAGAACCUCAGUGCAGAUGGAGAAGUGCUACACACGCAGGGCCCUGUCGAUGGCAGCCUUUACGCGAAGGUGAGGAAGAAAAGCUCCUCGGAUCCUGGCAUCCCAGGUGGCCCCCAGGCAAUCCCGGCCACCAACAGCCCAGACCACAGU
Molecule: small RNA, 584 nt
Filed under: Pan troglodytes (chimpanzee)
Lineage: Eukaryota; Metazoa; Chordata; Mammalia; Primates; Hominidae
Description: processed transcript
Source: RNAcentral